CAAGACAGACGGAUGGUCGCGGGGCGCGUAAGCGUCACGAGGAAAGUCCGGGCUUCACAGGGCAGGAUGCCGGAUAACGUCCGGUGGAGGCGACUCCCAGGCCAGUGCAACAGAAAUGAUACAGCCGGCGUUUGCCGGUAAUGGUGAAAUGGCAGUGUAAGAGACUACCGCCCCUCCGGUAACGGAGGGGGCAGAUGUAAACCCCAUCCGAAGCAAGACCAAAUGGAAAGCGAUACGCUUGCCCGGUGUGCUUUCAGGUAGGUCGCUCGAGCCGUGUGGUAACAUACGGCCUAGAAAGAUGAUCAUCCCGGUCCGCAAGGACUACGACAUAACCCGGCUUAUAGUCUGUCUUGGUAU
Molecule: RNase P RNA, 357 nt
Filed under: Lachnospiraceae bacterium
Lineage: Bacteria; Bacillati; Bacillota; Clostridia; Lachnospirales; Lachnospiraceae
Description: RNase P RNA component class A
Rfam family: Bacterial RNase P class A
About the family: Ribonuclease P (RNase P) is a ubiquitous endoribonuclease, found in archaea, bacteria and eukarya as well as chloroplasts and mitochondria. Its best characterised activity is the generation of mature 5'-ends of tRNAs by cleaving the 5'-leader elements of precursor-tRNAs.
Source: RNAcentral